This 1920-nucleotide small RNA is filed under the name Pan troglodytes (chimpanzee). RNAcentral describes it as "retained intron". Lineage: Eukaryota; Metazoa; Chordata; Mammalia; Primates; Hominidae. The record is from RNAcentral.
AAUUUGUAUGUCUUAUUGAAAACAUCUUUGAAAAAUAGUACUUUUGGUGUGGUAUGUGGUAGGUAAGACUUUGUAAGUUAAGUAGUUGUUCACUGAAUGUUAGCAUCUUUUUUUUUUAAUGUUCAUAUGGCCUUUCUUGCUGUUUAUAAAUUUUAUAAACUAUGUUCACUAUUUGAUCCUGUCAACCAAUAUUAGGAGUAACCACUGCAUUAUAUUUACAUUUGACUCUAUGAUAAUAUGUAAUAUUCACAUUUUGACUCUCUUUGGGAGAAAUAAAGAAUAAAUGUUAGUUCCCAGGCCAAAAUAACAGUUGAUACUUUCUUCUGCAUCAACAUUGCAUCUGUUAGACUGGAAUGAAAACAACACAUAUUCUGAUUAAAGGCUAUGUUUUAUACUUUUCAAGUAAUUAUUUUCAACUUUUUUUCCUUUUUUUUUGAGACAGAGUUUUGCUCUUGUUGCCCAGGCUGGAGUGCAAUGGCGUGAUCUCAGCUCACUGCAACCUCCGCCUCCCGGGUUCAAGCGAUUCUGCCUCGGCCUCCUUAGUAGUUAGGAUUACAGGUGUGUGCCACCACACCCAACUAAUUUUGUGUUUUUAGUAGAGAUGAGGUUUCUUGUUGGCCAGGCUGGUCUUGAACUCCUGACCUCAGGUGAUCCGCCCGCCUCGGCCUUCCAAAGUGCUGGGAUUAUAGGCGUGAGCCAUUGUGCCUGGCCUAUUUUCAGUAUUUUUGUUUAAAUUUUGUAAAAAGGUAAAAUAAAUGAUUUUUGAAAAUAGCUGGAGUUGUUUUCAUAGAGUCUGUGGUUAUAGGACUAUUUAACUAUAUAUUGAGUAAAAUCUAUGCUAUGUCAAGUUUUAUUCAGUUGUCCCUAGUAGAAUAUAUGUCUCUUUUAAUUCUGUAUACAGUAUGAGUAACUCCAGUUUAAAACACUGGUAUUUUAAUGAGUUUAAAUUGUACUGUUAUAUAUUAUGAUACAUAUUUUUCUUCUGGCUGUGGUUUAGUUUUUAAAAUUUUUGAUGUCCAUUUUAAUUUUUAGAAAUAAAAGCUUAAAAAUAUAGGUGGAAGUAGAUUUCAGUUUGAUAAUUAUCUUCGUGAAAGUAUAGUACCUGUGAAAUGGUGGUAAUAAUUUGAUUCUUUAUUCUAUUUUGAUUGUAGCUCCUUACAAAUGUAAGGAGCAUUUGUAAAAUUUAGUUGCUUUAGAGUUAUACAAAUCCUUUUAUUACCAUUUAUUAACUGUUUGUUGUUUUAGGACCUGAUCCCAACCUUGAAGAAAGUCCUAAAAGAAAAAAUAUUACAUAUGAGGAAUUAAGGAAUAAGAACAGAGAGUCAUAUGAAGUAUCUUUAACACAAAAGACUGACCCCUCAGUCAGGCCUAUGCAUGAAAGAGUGCCAAAAAAAGAAGUCAAAGUAAACAAGUAUGGAGAUACUUGGGAUGAGUGAAAAAUUACAUCAUUGGACAUGAAGGAGUUUCAACAUCCAGCUUCAUCUAGGUGGUCAUGAUUACCUGCAUGCUUUGAGCUCAGCAGCAGUCUUCAUAAACACAUUUAAAACAAGAUCCUGGGUUUUUGUGGUUUGACUUCUAUGGUGUUUUAAAAAAAUACAGAUUUUUAGUGUUAAUAUUGUGUAAAUGUACUCACCUUGGGUAUUCAUUUGAAUGAUGGUAUUAUACCAUGAUUGUAUACAGUUUGUGAAAUUGUUGCAAGGGCAAAGAUAACUCUUAAAAAACUGUCGAGAUUACAAUGCUCUAGAAUCAGCAUAUAAGAAAAUAAAUGAUAUCUGCAUGUUGAAUUGGGGUGGAUGGGGGGAGCAAGCAUAAUUUUUAAGUGUGAAGCUUUGCAUCAAGAAAUUAUUAAAAAGCUUUUUUUCUCCAGUAUUUUCUGUAUUAUCUUAAUGUUUAUGGCAAAUAAAAUGUAAAGGAACAUGC